CGUAGGUGGCAAGCGUUAUCCGGAAUUAUUGGGCGUAAAGAGCGCGCAGGUGGUUGAUUAAGUCUGAUGUGAAAGCCCACGGCUUAACCGUGGAGGGUCAUUGGAAACUGGUCGACUUGAGUGCAGAAGAGGGAAGUGGAAUUCCAUGUGUAGCGGUGAAAUGCGUAGAGAUAUGGAGGAACACCAGUGGCGAAGGCGGCUUCCUGGUCUGUAACUGACACUGAGGCGCGAAAGCGUGGGGAUCAAACAGGAUUAGAUA
RNAcentral lists this ribosomal RNA (259 nucleotides) under uncultured prokaryote. RNAcentral's name for it is "partial 16S ribosomal RNA". It matches the Rfam family "Bacterial small subunit ribosomal RNA", at positions 526 to 784 of the family's 1533-position model. The record is from RNAcentral.